CGCUUAUAUUCAUCAGUCACAGAUAGAAAUACAGUGGGUGUGGCACCAUGAGUCAUUUCACAUUCUUUUCUUUUUUUUUUGUGUGUGUGUGUGUGU
This is a long non-coding RNA of Salarias fasciatus (jewelled blenny), 96 nucleotides long. RefSeq lists it as uncharacterized. The record is from RefSeq and is a predicted model, not a curated record. NCBI's taxonomy places the organism in Eukaryota, Metazoa, Chordata, Actinopteri, Blenniiformes, Blenniidae. The transcript has 3 exons.